UUCAGCAGUGUUGCGGCAGAUCUACCUCUGACUGGUAUCAGGGUGUUAGACCUCACAAGGGUAUUAGCGGGGCCUUUUGCCACCAUGGUCCUCGGCGACCUUGGAGCUGAGGUCAUCAAGGUAGAGAGACCAGACACAGGAGAUGACACGCGGUCCUGGGGUCCACCGUUCUGUGGAACAGAGAGCGCCUACUUUCUAUCAGUUAACAGGAACAAGAAGAGCAUCGCUGUGAACCUCAAAGAUCCGAAGGGGGCCAAGAUUAUCAAACAGCUUGCAGAGAAGAGUGAUGUUCUAGUGGAGAACUACCUGCCAGGGAAGCUGGAGGAGAUGGGUCUGGGGUACCACCAUCUGAGGCAGCAUGCUCCUCAUCUCAUCCACUGUUCUAUCACAGGCUAUGGUUCAGAUGGUCCAUAUGCUAAGAGGGGAGGCUAUGAUGUCAUUGCUGCAGCUAUGGGAGGCCUCCUACAUAUAACAGGACCAGAGGAUGGAGACCCUGUGCGUGUGGGGGUGGCCAUGACAGAUCUGGCCACGGGACUGAUGGCUCACGGAGCCAUCAUGGCGGCACUGCUGCAGCGACAUCGCACCGGCGUGGGCCAGCACAUCGACUGUAAUCUCCUGUCUACACAGGUAGCCUGCAUUUCCCAUAUUGCUGCGAACUAUCUAAUGGCUGGUCAGGAGGCCAGACGCUGGGGAACUGGACAUGAGAGCAUCGUGCCUUACCAGGCAUUCAAGACAGCUGAUGGCCGCUUAAUCGUUGGUGCAGGGAACAACAAUCUGUUCAGAACCCUCUGUAAGGGUUUAGAACUCGAGCACCUUGCUGAUGACCCACGCUAUGCCAGCAACCAACUCAGGGUGGAAAACAGGAAGCAGCUUAUAGCAACUCUGGCACAAAGAUUUUCAGAGAAAACUACUGAUGAAUGGUUUGCAGUGUUUGAGGGCAGCGGCUUUCCCUACGGGCCAAUAAACAACAUGGAGCAGGUUUUCUCCAACCCCCAGGUUCUUCACAACAAGAUGAUUCUUGAGAUGGACCAUCCAGGUGCUGGGACUGUAAGGGUGCCAGGGCCCGCAGUUAAGUACACUGGAAGUGAGAGGGAAACGCAUUUGCCGCCUCCCACUCUGGGCCAACACACAGCCGAGGUCCUCGGCAAUCUCUUGCAGUACACCGAAAAAGAGAUGCAAGACUUGUCCCAAGUCGGUGCAAUUCGUAUUCAAGAUUCCUAACUGGAACGUUGCAAUCCAAGGCUAUUAAUUGACAGAUUUCAAUUACAGAAUAGUGGCAGUGCAGAUGUGUGCAACGCAAGAUUCAAGUUUAUCAAUAGCCAAAGGCAUUAAAAAACCAAAAAAAAAUCACAAGACAUCACAACACAUACAGGAACCUGCUUGAAAAGGAUGGAAUUCCGUACAUCCGAGGAUACUAUGAUAAACACAGUUCCAGAUUCUGGAGUUAAACUUACAGGAUGGACAGUUCCCUCCCAACAUCAGAACGUACAGUCGCUGAGAUGUGUUCCUGUUCCACAGUGCGUCAGGUAGGAAAAUUGCCGAUCUGUUGUCUUCCUUGGUAUACAUGUUGUAUAUGUUGCUACCUCGUAAGAAACAAGAGGUAUGCGUAAAGGGAAUACUUUUAACCUGCAGGAAAAAGCUUCUUGUCGUAAGUGGUGUCGUGAUGGUCAAAAAAUGAGUACAAUUCCACUGUUGUUUCGUUGCGAUUGUUAUACCGUAUCCUCAAACAAAUAAGUAUGCUUCUGGUGAAAAGGGAAGAGAUAAAUUAUAACGUCGUUCUACAAAGGGUUGAGCCGGAAAACGGGUUUUCAUGUAAUCGUGUAUGAAUUUGACCAGAUCGUAAAACUGGUCGUUAGAUUGUAACGAUUAACACUUGUGUUAGCAAAAGAUUUGUUCAAAUAAUUUUAACACUCAGAUACUUUAUUUUAGAUGUCAAGUUCAUGUUAGAAUACGGUUGAGAACAGUAAUGUAUCGACAGCAUCAGAAAAUGAUUUUAUAUUCUUGGUAAUGUCAAGCUUUUAAGACAAAGUGCAAUCAGAAUGUGUACCCCUGAAUACCAUGAAAUUGUUGCUAAGAAAAUUCUAAUUAAACUGUAAGGAAUAAAUGGAUUUUAGAUGGCAACUAUUUUGCAGAUGUUUGAUCUUUUUUAUCAAAAGUGUGAAUCAUUCUUAAGGAGAAGUGACUCAGAGAAUCUUGUGACAAAAUAUUUUGGUGAUAAUCACUAAGGGAUAAAAUAUUGGUAUACGUAUUUGUAAAGACGGUAUUAUUCAGUGAAUUAGUAGUAUGCUAUACGCGUAUUAUUUGAAGUUAUUUGCAAUAUUGUGUAUUUUCGAACGAAAUUUUUUACCACCGAGAGUGACUUGGAAGUUUAACACAAUAAGAUCACGCCAUGCAAAGACUUCAAAUCGUUAUGUCAGAAUAUAGUUUUACCUGAAUUUGCUACAAACGUGCCUGUGUUCAGAUCUGUGCGUUUUCAUUUUCACUUCCUAUUUGUUUACCGUUAUAUAUCUGAAGUGUUGGAAAAUAAAUUUCGGGACAAUAACUGAAUAGAAACAGACUACUAAUACAUUAACGUGUUUGACAAAUAAAGCAUUGAUUUUGAUUUAACCC
This is an RNA transcript of Branchiostoma floridae (Florida lancelet), 2610 nucleotides long. It is a transcript of the gene named succinate--hydroxymethylglutarate CoA-transferase-like, with no coding region annotated. NCBI's taxonomy places the organism in Eukaryota, Metazoa, Chordata, Leptocardii, Amphioxiformes, Branchiostomatidae. The transcript is spliced from 14 exons. The record is from RefSeq and is a predicted model, not a curated record.